Molecule: unclassified non-coding RNA, 226 nt
Filed under: Hevea brasiliensis (rubber tree)
Lineage: Eukaryota; Viridiplantae; Streptophyta; Magnoliopsida; Malpighiales; Euphorbiaceae
Source: RNAcentral
AGAGAGAGAGAGAGAGAGAGGACGAGACAGAAAAACCACAAGAGAAUAGAGAUUAGAAAUAAACGGAAAUUGAUAGGGGAUCAUGAGAGAGAAUCCAUUGGCCUGGAUAUGGAGAAUUUUCUGGGAUAGAGGAGAGGAGUUUUGGAUGAGUGAAAGAAAGACGAAGAAAGGAGAAGUCUUAUAUAGGAAAUAGGAGUGAACUAUUAACUUCGUUAACUGAGUAAUU